CAGCCCCUCGAGUGGUGGGGAUGAUUAUUGGGCCUAAAGCAUCCGUAGCCGGCGCUGUAAGUUUUCGGUUAAAUCUGUACGCUCAACGUACAGGCUGCCGGGAAUACUGCAGCGCUAGGGAGUGGGAGAGGUAGACGGUACUCGGUAGGAAGGGGUAAAAUCCUUUGAUCUAUUGAUGACCACCUGUGGCGAAGGCGGUCUACCAGAACACGUCCGACGGUGAGGGAUGAAAGCUGGGGGAGCAAACCGGAUUAGAUACCCGAGUAGUCC
This 270-nucleotide ribosomal RNA is filed under the name uncultured archaeon. RNAcentral describes it as "partial 16S ribosomal RNA". It matches the Rfam family "Archaeal small subunit ribosomal RNA", at positions 477 to 747 of the family's 1478-position model. The record is from RNAcentral.